RNAcentral lists this ribosomal RNA (253 nucleotides) under uncultured bacterium. RNAcentral's name for it is "partial 16S ribosomal RNA". It matches the Rfam family "Bacterial small subunit ribosomal RNA", at positions 524 to 776 of the family's 1533-position model. The record is from RNAcentral.
GACGAACCGUACAAACGUUAUUCGGUGUCACUGGGCUUAAAGGGUGCGUAGGCGGCGGAGAAAGUUAGGUGUGAAAUCCCUCGGCUCAACCGAGGAAUGGCGCUUAAAACUACUUCGCUCGAGGAAGAUAGAGGUGAGCGGAACUUACGGUGGAGCGGUGAAAUGCGUUGAUAUCGUAGGGAACACCAGUUGCGAAAGCGGCUCACUGGGUCUUUUCUGACGCUGAGGCACGAAAGCUAGGGUAGCGAACGGG